GAUGAACGCUGGCGGCGUGCCUAAUACAUGCAAGUCGAGCGAACAGACGAGGAGCUUGCUCCUCUGACGUUAGCGGCGGACGGGUGAGUAACACGUGGAUAACCUACCUAUAAGACUGGGAUAACUUCGGGAAACCGGAGCUAAUACCGGAUAACAUGUUGAACCGCAUGGUUCAACAGUGAAAGACGGUUUUGCUGUCACUUAUAGAUGGAUCCGCGUGGCAUUAGCUAGUUGGUAAGGUAACGGCUUACCAAGGCAACGAUGCGUAGCCGACCUGAGAGGGUGAUCGGCCACACUGGAACUGAGACACGGUCCAGACUCCUACGGGAGGCAGCAGUAGGGAAUCUUCCGCAAUGGGCGAAAGCCUGACGGAGCAACGCCGCGUGAGUGAAGAAGGUCUUCGGAUCGUAAAACUCUGUUAUUAGGGAAGAACAAAUGUGUAAGUAACUAUGCACGUCUUGACGGUACCUAAUCAGAAAGCCACGGCUAACUACGUG
RNAcentral lists this ribosomal RNA (497 nucleotides) under uncultured bacterium. Its description in RNAcentral is "partial 16S ribosomal RNA". It matches the Rfam family "Bacterial small subunit ribosomal RNA", at positions 28 to 507 of the family's 1533-position model. The record is from RNAcentral.